CAGCAGCCGCGGUAAAACGAAGGGGGCUAGCGUUGUUCGGAAUUACUGGGCGUAAAGCGCACGUAGGCGGAUUGUUAAGUUAGGGGUGAAAUCCCAGGGCUCAACCCUGGAACUGCCUUUAAUACUGGCAAUCUCGAGUCCGAGAGAGGUGAGUGGAAUUCCGAGUGUAGAGGUGAAAUUCGUAGAUAUUCGGAGGAACACCAGUGGCGAAGGCGGCUCACUGGCUCGGUACUGACGCUGAGGUGCGAAAGCGUGGGGAGCAAACAGGAUUAGAUACCCCCGUAGUCCCUGUCUCUUAUAC
RNAcentral lists this ribosomal RNA (301 nucleotides) under uncultured bacterium. RNAcentral's name for it is "partial 16S ribosomal RNA". It matches the Rfam family "Bacterial small subunit ribosomal RNA", at positions 509 to 807 of the family's 1533-position model. The record is from RNAcentral.